Molecule: ribosomal RNA, 254 nt
Filed under: uncultured bacterium
Lineage: Bacteria
Description: partial 16S ribosomal RNA
Rfam family: Bacterial small subunit ribosomal RNA
Source: RNAcentral
UACAGAGGGUGCGAGCGUUGUCCGGAAUCACUGGGCGUAAAGGGCGCGUAGGCGGCCACCGCAAGUCGGUUGUGAAAUCUCCGGGCUUAACCCGGAAAGGUCAAUCGAUACUGCGGGGCUAGAGUGCAGAAGGGGCAACUGGAAUUCUCGGUGUAGCGGUGAAAUGCGUAGAUAUCGAGAGGAACACCUGCGGCGAAGGCGGGUUGCUGGGCUGACACUGACGCUGAAGCGCGAAAGCGUGGGUAGCAAACAGG